This 804-nucleotide ribosomal RNA is filed under the name uncultured bacterium. Its description in RNAcentral is "bacterial SSU rRNA". It matches the Rfam family "Bacterial small subunit ribosomal RNA", at positions 50 to 827 of the family's 1533-position model. The record is from RNAcentral.
CGAGCGAGCUUGCCUAGAUGAUUUUAGUGCUUGCACUAAAUGAAACUAGAUACAAGCGAGCGGCGGACGGGUGAGUAACACGUGGGUAACCUGCCCAAGAGACUGGGAUAACACCUGGAAACAGAUGCUAAUACCGGAUAACAACACUAGACGCAUGUCUAGAGUUUGAAAGAUGGUUCUGCUAUCACUCUUGGAUGGACCUGCGGUGCAUUAGCUAGUUGGUAAGGUAACGGCUUACCAAGGCAAUGAUGCAUAGCCGAGUUGAGAGACUGAUCGGCCACAUUGGGACUGAGACACGGCCCAAACUCCUACGGGAGGCAGCAGUAGGGAAUCUUCCACAAUGGACGAAAGUCUGAUGGAGCAACGCCGCGUGAGUGAAGAAGGGUUUCGGCUCGUAAAGCUCUGUUGGUAGUGAAGAAAGAUAGAGGUAGUAACUGGCCUUUAUUUGACGGUAAUUACUUAGAAAGUCACGGCUAACUACGUGCCAGCAGCCGCGGUAAUACGUAGGUGGCAAGCGUUGUCCGGAUUUAUUGGGCGUAAAGCGAGUGCAGGCGGUUCAAUAAGUCUGAUGUGAAAGCCUUCGGCUCAACCGGAGAGUUGCAUCAGAAACUGUUGAACUUGAGUGCAGAAGAGGAGAGUGGAACUCCAUGUGUAGCGGUGGAAUGCGUAGAUAUAUGGAAGAACACCAGUGGCGAAGGCGGCUCUCUGGUCUGCAACUGACGCUGAGGCUCGAAAGCAUGGGUAGCGAACAGGAUUAGAUACCCUGGUAGUCCAUGCCGUAAACGAUGAGUGCUAAGUGUUGGG